RNAcentral lists this ribosomal RNA (639 nucleotides) under Ilyapa viridis. Its description in RNAcentral is "eukaryotic LSU rRNA". It matches the Rfam family "Eukaryotic large subunit ribosomal RNA", at positions 2335 to 2829 of the family's 3401-position model. Lineage: Eukaryota; Metazoa; Arthropoda; Insecta; Hemiptera; Cicadellidae. The record is from RNAcentral.
CCCUCUGUCCCUAUCUACUAUCUAGCGAAACCACUGCCAAGGGAACGGGCUUGGAAAAAUCAGCGGGGAAAGAAGACCCUGUUGAGCUUGACUCUAGUCUGGCACUGUAAGGAGACAUGAGAGGUGUAGCAUAAGUGGGAGGCGGUUAACCGUCGCCGGUGAAAUACCACUACUUUCAUCGUUUCUUUACUUACUUGGUUAGGCGGAAGGCGUACGUCUUGCUUUAGCUCGGCGUUACGGUCUUCUCGCGCCAAGCGUUCAAGGGUUGCCGGCGGACAGACGUGCGAGUCGGAAAUCGGUAAUCCGUGGCUGCGACAGGACCUGUCCUGAAGCACCACGGCCUCCGAGGCUCGGCUUUAGCGCGCUCUGAGCUCGACCGGCAAACACUCCCUAGCGUGAUCCGAUCCGAGGACACUGCCAGGCGGGGAGUUUGACUGGGGCGGUACAUCUGUCAAAGAAUAACGCAGGUGUCCUAAGGCCAGCUCAGCGAGGACAGAAACCUCGCGUAGAGCAAAAGGGCAAAUGCUGGCUUGAUCCCGAUGUUCAGUACGCAUAGGGACUGCGAAAGCACGGCCUAUCGAUCCUUUUGGCUUGAAGAGUUUUCAGCAAGAGGUGUCAGAAAAGUUACCACAGGGAUAA